CGUGAUCUCCUGCCUAGAGGGUGAAGGCCCAGCAGCUGACACUUGGAAGCUGAGUGGAGGAAGCAGACUAAAAUCCAACUCCAAAGCUCAAGAACCAUUGAAACUGUAAAGACAAAGGCAAUCUUGUAUCUCUCUGCAAGAAGACAGGCAAUUCCCAAAUUAACUCAGAUAUAAUGUAGGAAGACUUCUACUCAUCCUAGAGGUAAGGAAGUUUUUACACUUCACCCAGAGAGAUUGAAAAACACUAG
This 248-nucleotide long non-coding RNA is filed under the name Mustela putorius furo (domestic ferret). RNAcentral's name for it is "lncRNA (ENSMPUG00000024568.1)". Lineage: Eukaryota; Metazoa; Chordata; Mammalia; Carnivora; Mustelidae. The record is from RNAcentral.